AACGCAAAUUGCGCUCGAGGCCUCCGGGUCGAGAGCAUGUCUGCCUCAGCGUCGCUCAUACCCAAUCGACUCCUCCAUUUAAUGGAUGCCGAGUCGGACCUGGCCGUCCGGUUGAAUAGCCGGUCGGCUGAAAUGUAUGCUCCGCUCCUAACCUCCCUUCAAUGGGAAGGGGUCAGCCGGUAAGCAUGAGCAUCUCCAAUUGGAGACGACUCAGCCUGCCGUUGAACUCCGGUCGGAAGCUGUAGGGAGCCACAGGAAACAAUCAAAUAUCGACCUGAGAUCAGGCAAGGACACCCGCUGAACUUAA
Molecule: unclassified non-coding RNA, 307 nt
Filed under: uncultured fungus
Lineage: Eukaryota; Fungi
Description: partial contains 5.8S ribosomal RNA, internal transcribed spacer 2, and large subunit ribosomal RNA
Source: RNAcentral